AGAGCGAACGCUGGCGGCAGGCUUAACACAUGCAAGUCGAGCGGGCGUAGCAAUACGUCAGCGGCAGACGGGUGAGUAACGCGUGGGAACAUACCUUUUGGUUCGGAACAACACAGGGAAACUUGUGCUAAUACCGGAUAAGCCCUUACGGGGAAAGAUUUAUCGCCGAAAGAUUGGCCCGCGUCUGAUUAGCUAGUUGGUGAGGUAACGGCUCACCAAGGCGACGAUCAGUAGCUGGUCUGAGAGGAUGAUCAGCCACAUUGGGACUGAGACACGGCCCAAACUCCUACGGGAGGCAGCAGUGGGGAAUAUUGGACAAUGGGCGCAAGCCUGAUCCAGCCAUGCCGCGUGAGUGAUGAAGGCCCUAGGGUUGUAAAGCUCUUUUGUGCGGGAAGAUAAUGACGGUACCGCAAGAAUAAGCCCGGCUAACUUCGUGCCAGCAGCCGC
This 447-nucleotide ribosomal RNA is filed under the name uncultured bacterium. Its description in RNAcentral is "SSU rRNA". It matches the Rfam family "Bacterial small subunit ribosomal RNA", at positions 26 to 518 of the family's 1533-position model. The record is from RNAcentral.